RNAcentral lists this ribosomal RNA (274 nucleotides) under uncultured bacterium. RNAcentral describes it as "partial 16S ribosomal RNA". It matches the Rfam family "Bacterial small subunit ribosomal RNA", at positions 523 to 796 of the family's 1533-position model. The record is from RNAcentral.
AUACGGAGGAUCCGAGCGUUAUCCGGAUUUAUUAGGUUUAAAGGGUGCGCAGGCGGAACUGUAAGUCACCGGUGAAAUCCUACAGCUUAACUGUAGAACUGCCGGUGAUACUGCGAUUCUUGAGUAUAGUUGAGGUAGGCGGAAUGUGUAGUGUAGCGGUGAAAUGCAUAGAUAUUACACAGAACACCGAUUGCGAAGGCAGCUUACUAAACUAUUACUGACGCUCAUGCACGAAAGCGUGGGGAGCGAACAGGAUUAGAUACCCCGGUAGUCC